Molecule: ribosomal RNA, 460 nt
Filed under: uncultured bacterium
Lineage: Bacteria
Description: partial 16S ribosomal RNA
Rfam family: Bacterial small subunit ribosomal RNA
Source: RNAcentral
CCUACGGGAGGCAGCAGUGAGGAAUAUUGGUCAAUGGGCGCAAGCCUGAACCAGCCAAGUCGCGUGAGGGAUGACGGUCCUAUGGAUUGUAAACCUCUUUUGUCGGGGAGCAAGGCACGCCACGUGUGGCGGGAAGGAGAGUACCCGAAGAAAAAGCAUCAGCUAACUCGGUGCCAGCAGCCGCGGUAAUACGGGGGAUGUGAGCUUUAUACGGAUUUAUUGGGUUUAAAGGGUGAGUAGGCGGAAGGUUAAGUCAGCGGUAAAAUGUCGGUGCUCAACACCGGCCUGCCGUUGAAACUGGUCUUCUUGAGUGAGCUAGAGGUAUGCGGAAUGCGUGGUGUAGCGGUGAAAUGCAUAGAUAUCACGCAGAACUCCGAUUGCGAAGGCAGCAUACCGGCGCUCAACUGACGCUGAGGCACGAAAGCGUGGGGAUCGAACAGGAUUAGAUACCCCAGUAGUC